CCAGUCCUCCUAGGUGUUGCAAACUUAAUCAAGGAACCCUUUAACCUCCUCUCUCCUUCCUCAAAGUGUCGUCUGAAAAACAAACUCUGCAGCUUUGAUUGGCUAGCUGGGAGAGAAGAGCGUUGCUCUGAGUUUAAACGGAAUGUAUCACUUCGAAUUAGCAGUUGUUUUUUAAGGACCACUGAAGCUUGGGCUUAAUUUGGGGGCUAUUGCUCAGCUAAUCUCACCGUGAGCGACAGUUCUAAGCAAUGACAGCAGAAUUUCAUCGGUAGUUUUGCUUUGCCAGUUUGGAAGGAUUUUCAUUCAAAUGAAAGGCCUUGGCUGCUGCCUCUGGGAAUGCUGCCUUCUUGCUUAUUGAUAAGCCGUACGAACUUAUCAUACAUUGCAUUCGCCUUUCAUCUGCGUUCUGCACUCCAGCAUUAGCUGCAGAGUUGUGGAAGAGGGUCCUGAGAGCCAUUUGCGAGGUCAGGGCUCUUGGUUGCUUUCUGGCAACCCCUUGUUAUAAUUCUGCCCCCAAUCCAGAGGUCAGAGUUGGGGUGUUUCCCCUGCCCCCAGUGGGUCACUCCCUCUUUGAAAGCACCCUGCCAGAGACCGCUCAUAACAGUAUCUCUGACAGCCACAUUUUGCCUUUUAGGAAUGAGCCAGGUCUCACCAAGACGUGACCUGGGAGAGGAGGGACACCUCUGGGCCUCCCACUUCAAAUGGCACAACGUGAACAGCACCCAGUGCUCUCAGGAUGUAUGUCAGGAGCCAGUUGUCGGCAUUUCUUAUCACUCUGUUGCUGUAAUGGCUCCCAGUGGUUCAUAGCUGUUCACCCGAGCAAGGCUAACCACGUGGCAGUCCCCCCUGUGCAGUGCUAGUGGAGCUGGCAAGCACAGGUGUGCAGGUAGCCUUCCCACCUCUUCCUCGCCGGGCCCCAGUCAUGGCAGCGGUGGCCUUUCUGCGGUAGUUUCUGCUGGCCUGGGAACAAGUUUUCUGAGGCCCUGUACAGCUCAUUGGGCGCGGUUUCCUGCCAGCUUCCACUUGCUUGUGAUUGCUGUGUGUUCUAGCACGCCAGUUUCAGAGCAGGUCUCCUAGCAGCCAUGGUGCCAUCUGGCCUCAGAGAGAUGUCUGGACACUUGCGAGUAUCUAGGGUGACAAGGAGAUCCCAUCACAGCUGAACUCUGUAAUUCAGAGUGCCCUGGACUGUGAGUGGGUGUCCAGAUGGCUUGCCAGCAGGGUAGCCCUCACUUGGGUGCACAGUGUGGGGAGAUGGACGCACCUGAAGGUCCAGUACAGCAAAGUGUGGAAGAAUAACAGCUGCUCUGGGGCAGAGGAAACCUGCCCCUUUCGUGCAAGACUGUAUUUUCUGCACUCGCCCGCCUGUGAAACCUGACGCACUGGUGGACAGCGCCAGGCAGGGCGGGGUGACAGCGCUGGCGUGGGCAAGUCCAGGAUAUGCCUAGGCUCCCCAGGACUCUUCAGUGAAUCGUAGGCUGCAGAGACCGCGGCAGAAGGUUCAGGAAGAGAGGCCUGCCCUUUGCACGAGGGACCACUGCUGAGUCGCUGAGCAGGUGAGGGAUCAGGUGUCUGAGCACAUCAGGGGGCUAAACGCCUCACCAGUCCUUGGGGGAAAUGGAGAACAAAAGGAUCUGUCCCUGGAGCUGCAGGGGGAUGUGCAAAGGGGACUCUGCUCGUAUGUGCAGCUUCCAGGCAGAAGAAGCCAAGUGGGGAGAAGAGCACUCUGACGUAAUACGCCCCUCAUGGCAGAGAAAGGAGGAGGCAGGAGCAAGCAUUCCAGAGGGAAUGAAUGCCUGAGAAAGCACAUUCAAAGACACAGCCCAUUAGUGCCAUUAUCCCAUUAACAGGCCCUUGCAUCUGCCCUGUACAUACCACCUCCUCGUAUAGUGCUGCAGUACAGGAUGGUGGCAACUCAUUUUGGUCUGUGCCAUACUGGUCUGUUCCUUCCUGUGCAUUCCCAUGGCAUUCUAUCCCUGCCAACGAGCUGGACAGGGCGACUCAGGCUCCCAGGGACAUGCGUUCGUACCCCUAUCGUCCGCAGAAGUGCCUGGUGUGUAGUAUUGUGGUUUUGAUCUAGUUUGUUGUUGCUGCUGAGCUUCCACUUUUGUGUGCUUAAUAAACAUGGUUUGCUCCAUU
Non-coding RNA from Chrysemys picta bellii (western painted turtle), 2136 nucleotides. NCBI's taxonomy places the organism in Eukaryota, Metazoa, Chordata, Testudines, Emydidae. The record is from RefSeq and is a predicted model, not a curated record.